GCAUGCGCAGCUACACAUGCAAGUCGAGCGGUAACAGGGGUAGCUUGCUACCCGCUGACGAGCGGCGGACGGGUGAGUAAUGCAUAGGAAUCUGCCCGAUAGUGGGGGAUAACCUGGGGAAACCCAGGCUAAUACCGCAUACGUCCUACGGGAGAAAGGGGGCUUCGGCUCCCGCUAUUGGAUGAGCCUAUGUCGGAUUAGCUAGUUGGUGAGGUAAUGGCUUACCAAGGCAACGAUCCGUAGCUGGUCUGAGAGGAUGAUCAGCCACAUCGGGACUGAGACACGGCCCGAACUCCUACGGGAGGCAGCAGUGGGGAAUAUUGGACAAUGGGGGCAACCCUGAUCCAGCCAUGCCGCGUGUGUGAAGAAGGCCCUCGGGUUGUAAAGCACUUUCAGCGAGGAAGAACGCCUAUCGGUUAAUACCCGGUAGGAAAGACAUCACUCGCAGAAGAAGCACCGGCUAACUCCGUGCCAGCAGCCGCGGUAAUACGGAGGGUGCAAGCGUUAAUCGGAAUUACUGGGCGUAAAGCGCGCGUAGGUGGCUUGAUAAGCCGGUUGUGAAAGCCCCGGGCUCAACCUGGGAACGGCAUCCGGAACUGUCAGGCUAGAGUGCAGGAGAGGAAGGUAGAAUUCCCGGUGUAGCGGUGAAAUGCGUAGAGAUCGGGAGGAAUACCAGUGGCGAAGGCGGCCUUCUGGACUGACACUGACACUGAGGUGCGAAAGCGUGGGUAGCAAACAGGAUUAGAUACCCUU
RNAcentral lists this ribosomal RNA (753 nucleotides) under Vreelandella titanicae. RNAcentral's name for it is "bacterial SSU rRNA". It matches the Rfam family "Bacterial small subunit ribosomal RNA", at positions 42 to 789 of the family's 1533-position model. Lineage: Bacteria; Pseudomonadati; Pseudomonadota; Gammaproteobacteria; Oceanospirillales; Halomonadaceae. The record is from RNAcentral.